RNA transcript from Bombus pyrosoma, 1333 nucleotides. RefSeq lists it as uncharacterized. NCBI's taxonomy places the organism in Eukaryota, Metazoa, Arthropoda, Insecta, Hymenoptera, Apidae. The record is from RefSeq and is a predicted model, not a curated record. The transcript is spliced from 2 exons.
UCAAUCAGAAUGAGACUUUUUGUAUUUUGUUAAUAUCGUUCUUCGAUACCUUUGAAAAAUUGUUUGAUUUCUUGGCGGGAAUAAAUACUCAGUAAACAACGAAUUUUUCACGAGCCUUACAAAAAGAAAUUUUGCGCAGAUUCAAUCUGUCAUCUACCGCAGACAGCGAAAUACAUAUUUAGCACAAAUAAGUACUGUUACUUCACGAGGCUUACCAUAGGCCGUGUCCCUAACCCCCGCUCGUGAUGCUACAAUGUCGUAGUCAGAUCGUCUUAUAGGACCGGCGAAAUAUAUACAAUAUAGCCACAAGUGCAUGGUUAUCAUCAAGCAGGGAGUUCUAGAAACGUAGAUUCGCCAUCGGUCCGUUGUUUCAUUUACACAAAGAAGGUGGCAUACGUGAUCAUAGGCGUGAGCGGUGGCGUGACCUGAGCGUAGUGGGGGUCGUCUCCCACAGAUGACAAAGAAAUAAUCGAAGGGCAGCAGUAUCAUUUGAGGAUUCGAACGUUACAGAUCGGGAGUUGCAGUCGAAUAAUGUCAAAGUCGCUUAGUCAAACGGAAUGCAUGGAGAGGUUCAGACGAAUCAAAUCCAGUGUGUGUUCACGGAUGUGUGCGUUGUUUUUUGUAGCUCGUUUCAAGCUUUUGUGUCGUGGAUUUGCAGAAAAAGGUUAAGUCAAUGGAUAUUUGCACCUAUGCACCAGCGGUUCAUACGAAUGGCAUUAAUUGUAUCAUUUUUCGAAAGAAGAGGAUACCAUUCGUAAAAAAUUUCAAAAGUUGGUAAGUACAAAGUGUUCGUACUCUCCAUACGUGUGUUUUGUAUUUGUCAUUUCCCUACAUUAGAAAAUUAGCAUAUUAACGUCCGGUAUUUCUUCGGUACUCAUAUGAAUAGAGUAUAGAGAUAACAUAUAAAUGUUUUUAACUUAGGAAUCCAUCGGUUCAAAAGUUUCACGUAUUUAAAUUUCGGUAUUUUUAGCCUACUGUAUGGUUUAUUUUAAUGUGAUAACCACUCAGACGGCAAAUAUUAUUAUUUAUUGAAGCGCAUAUUGUGUUCAGAAUAUUGCUUUGCUGCAGAUGAAACACAUGUGCUGCAGCGCAACAAUACGUUUGUAAAACUUUCUAGUACUUUAAAAAUAGUUUUAGAAAACGACAAUUAUCUAUGGGCACGGACAACCUAACAACGCAGAAUUUGUUGGAAUUAGCAUACUUUUUCGUCUUCUUAAUCUCUGUGUGCUUUGUUAUUUUAUUGCCUGCGAAUCAUUAAUUGGAUACUCGAACAUCCCCGUCAUCUCAGCGCCUGUCCCCCACCUGAUAUGAACGGAACGUAAGAGUUGGAAAA